CUACUCUCUCUCAGCCUCAGUUUCCACAAUUUUGAGCUGGGGUUAAUAACACCGAUGGCAUGGCUGUUGUGAGGAUUAUUUAGAAGAUAGAGAGAUACCUGUUUCUGGGCCCUCAGCACUAUUUUUGUUAGAAGUUUCUGCACUGUGUACACACAGAAUGAGGGCAGAGGAAGUCUGGGGCCACCUCAGAACUGACUGUCUCUCUUGCGUGGUAUAACGUGGGUCAUGGCCUCCUUCAGGAUGGCCUUGAACUGCUAGAGAGACAGCCCUUAGCUCUCAGCACAUUCUUAAAAUAAUCUCCAAAGGUGGAAGGAGUCACCGCUCCGGUGUUUUCAGGAAAUGCUGCUGUGAUCCCUUUGAGCCGGUCUCCAGUCUUCUUCCCAUUAUUGGACCCGAACUCAGAUUUCCAUUUAACUGUUAGAUUUAGUGCUGGUGAGGUUAGUGCCCCUCCCCGUCCCAGCCCCUCCCACUCCCAGCAGCUUCCUGGGAAGAUGGGAGGCGGGAGGUGAAGAGGCUCUCAACUGUUCUGCACUGGGGGGUUGGUCCUCCUUGAUUAAGGAAUGGCUCCAUUUCAGCCCAGCUUUUAGCUCAUUAUUUGGAUUGAACUAAUGUUGCAGUAACUAGACCUCCCCAACCAGAUACAGAUGACAAACCAGAUUGAUUCAUGGCCAUUUUCUUCCAUUUCUGACCAGGGUGGGCAGGUAAUGAAACUCAGUGCCCAGGUGUGCAAUAAACAGCACAGUAAAUUAUCCAGGGUGAAGUUUGUUAUCUUUUCCUAUAAAAAUGCAUUUGAAUUUACAACAGCUGCUACUACUCUCUCCAGCUGGCCUGCCAGCUCAAAUUCCACAUCUAACUAGGCAGUGAAAGAAUUUGAAUCAGGUAGGUAGUUCAUUAUGUUAUAUAAGUAUGAAGGCACUUUGGAAGAAUAUAGAGGCCAUUAAAAUGUAUUAAAAUUCAAAAGGUUUAGAUGGCUUUUCUGUUUAUUCAAAUGCAACCAGUGAUAGAUUGAAAUCGUAGUUUUUUUGGAACCAAACGUUUCCUCCCCUAUAAGUGUCUUCCUUUCAUAUAUUUGCAUUUAGCAAGUCACAGGGCAUUAAUACAAUGUUAAAAAAACAAAGAAAACAUAAAUUAAACCUAGAUAGCUUAUUUCUCUUUAGCCUUUUGUGUAGUGCCUACAGAGUGUGUGUGUGUGCGUGCGUGCAUGCGCUCGUGCUUGUGCAAGCAUUUCAAAUGCACUCACUCUUCUGCCUGUCAGCUUUAGCAGAUAGUUGUUCCUUGCAUGAAAAGGUAAAAUAUAUAGGAAGGCGGCUCUUCAGUUUAAGGGCUUAGAGAUUUUAACCUUUUUUUGGUCAAUCCGGAGAACUGGAGAGAUAAUGGGGGACAUGCUCUCUCAUCUGGUACAGAUAUUAGGUCUCACUCUCUCUCUGUCUCUUUCUCUCUUGAAACUACAUAAGUCUGGCAAAACCACAAGCUCCUUGAAGGCAGAAACUAUGCCUUAAACUAGCACUAGUGUUCCAGAAAGUGGGGUCCAGCUGCAUAACGCUCUACAGAUAAUAAAAAGGCAAGUUUGGUGGAAAAGAACGUUUGCUUUAUUUCAGAGACCACUGGUGGAGGUGGGGUAGGGCAGACUUCUGUCCAAAGGCCAACUUUCCCCACUGACAACCCGUGGGCAAGAGGAGUUUCAGGGGGUGUAUAGCAGAGGGAGGGGGCUACAUGCAGAAACAGCACAGUCAACUUUGACAGUCAUCUUGAAAUUGGCCAUGUGGUGGUUUAAUCAGCAUUAUCUUGAUUGUUUUAAGUACAGUUAGUCUUCAGCUCCAGCGUUGGUUUGUUCCCAUUUCCUUGAGGGCAGUUCUUAAAGUUGUGGCAGCUGAUGUCAUGGCGACAAUCUGGUGAUCAUGUAGUUAACUUCUUCCACCUGGUGGUGGUUUCAGUAUCUACAAGGCAGCUCACACACAGGACAUGGCUCAGAAUAUUUUCUUUAGCAUUUGAGGAGAAACUGAAGGUCCUUGACUUUGCUUAAUGACUAAACUGUUAUUAUUUGGUCUUGUUUGACUGCUUUCCUUUGCUUCUCCAUUUUCUCAUUUCUCUGAUUAAACUUAUUAUUUGACUAAAGUUUUUCUACAGACAAAAGGCAGGCAGAGGACAAGGGGUGGGAGGGAAGGACCAUAGGGUCAUAGUCUGUUUCACUAGGAGGAGCUUAAUAAUUUCAUUUUAGUUAACCCAUCACAGUCCUGUCAGCUGGUUUUAAGUGGGGUUGGCAUCUGUGGCACCUAUAGGAGCACAGGUAGAUGGCAUGUUAAAAAAUAACCACAGGAGUUCCCUGGUGGCUUAGUGGAUUAGGGACCUGGUAUUGUCACUGCUGGAUUGGAUUGGAUCCCUGGCCCCAGAGCUUCCACAUGCCAUGGGUGUGGCCAAAAAAAUUUAAAAAAUAAAACACAGGCUAUUAUUAGGCUUGGUUUUAGGUAAAACAUAUCCUUUGGGAGGGCACCUCAUUUCAUUUUUCCAUGCGAGAGGUUGAGACUGAAGAGGGGCCUCCCCUUAUCCACCUGCACGGGGAUCACCCCCAGAGCCUGAGCCUUCUCUAAGCAUGAAAUUGCUCUUUUAAUUCCGUUUGCUCAUUUAAUGUGAAAGCAGACUCUACAGAGCUCAGUAUUCUCAAUUCCUGCUGUUGACGGAUUAUCCAGUUAAUCCUUAUGAGGCGGGAAAAAGAUGGAAAUUGUUUUUCCCCAUUUUUCAAACUGAGUAUGGCAGGAAAAGAGGUAAGAUCUCAGGGAGAAGCUUUACGGUUUCCUAGCCUCCCAGUCCAGCCCCGUAUCACAUAUUAGGUAGCAUUGUUCUCAAAUUCUACAAAACAACACUUUUUUUUUUUUUUUGUCUUUUUAGGGCCGCUUUCAUGGCAUAUGGAGGUUCCCAGGCUAGCAGUUGAAUCAGAGCCGUAGUCACCGGCCUAUGCCAGAGCCACAGCAACACAGGAUCCAAGCUGCAUCUGCGACUUACACCACAGCUCACAGCAACACCGGAUCCUUAACCCACUGAGCGAGGCCAGGGAUCAAACCCACAUCCUCAUGGAUACUAGUUGGGUUCGUUAACCACUGAGCUACGACAGGAACUCCAAACAAUACUCUUCUUAAUUGGUUAAAGAAGAGUUUAAGUUUUUUUUUGUGCAACAGUCAUUUUCUUUUGCUAAGAUAUUACUGCUGUUAAAAUGUGAAUUUUGUCCAGUUUUUAUUAAGCUCUUUGCAAAGGAAAAGAGGUCAGCAUGAUCCCUGUUGAAUUUUCAAGAUGGCAUCAAAAACGAUGACAAAUAAAUUGGAGCAGAAUUUUUCAAAUCAAAAAAAGUAACCAAGCACACUCUGAAGACAAAAUAUAAAGCUUAUUAAUAUUUUUCCUUUUUUCUAAAAUGUCCUUGGGGACAAUGACCGACAAUUUCCUUGUACAUAUAACUUUGUGCAUAUAAAAACCAAGAUCAACUAAUGCCUUGGAUUUAAAAAAACAAAUGUUUAUUUUGAAUUAACGUGGUUUUAGCUCAGUUAAUAUUGAAAAUGAGAGCUGUCAACACUCACCUGUAAUAAGGUCUUUCUGUGCUUGAACCUGACUUGAUGUGGAUGUCUUAUAAAGAGCCUUAAUCUUGGCUUAUUAAAGGACUAAUAGCAGUAGGAGACCAGAAUAUGCCAUUGCAAAUGUUUUGAACUGAUUUUUAAAGAAACAGCAGACAGGAGAAACUCUGAUAACAGACUGUAAGUUACCCUUUUAUAAGAAAUUUACAUUUAUAAAGGAAAUCUUUCCUUGUAAAGUUGUCUCCCAGUCUGUAGAAGGAGACGGUUGUCUCUAGGUCAUAAGAGACUCUGAUCUUUGCAGAAGACAAUGACCUACAUCUUGUUUACCAGUUUCCUGGCCCCCUUCCACAACUUGCCUCCUCACCCCUGCAGAUGGUCCCAAAGCCCAAGUUCUUGCCCCCUUUUUGAGUUCUUCUUCUCAUUGUUUCUCCCAUGUUUAUGUGAGUUGUACUUGUUAAUAAAGUCAGUUUGUUUUCUCUUGUUCAUCUGUCUAUUGUAAGGAGAAUCCCAGCUGAGAACCUCAGAGGAGAGAAAGAUUUUUUUUCCUCCUUCACGUAGAAACUCUCAGUCAUAGAGAGUCACAUGUUCUUAUCUGCUGUCCGCUUUCCAUCUGUGCUUGGAAUCUUAAAAUGCAUCUGCUGAACUCUUACACUAUAAUAAGAUUUUUUUUCUUUUAAGCUCUUAAAUUACAUAAAUAAUAUUCAUUGGAGAAAAUUUAGAUAUAUCAACAAAACUCACUCAGAAUCUCACCAACCAAUCAGACAAAACCACUGCGUUUCUGGACAGGCUUAACCAUAAAUUCAGAAACAAAACUGGAUCAUGUUAUAAACACUUUUCUGUAUUCUGCUCUUCUCAAUUAAUAGAUAAUAAACAUCUCUCCCUAUCAGUGGAUGUACAUUUAUCAUUAUAAAUAAAAAUAUUAUUAUAUGACAUGUUGUUUGUAAUUUACUCAACUAAUUGCUAAUUGUUGGACAUUUCGAUUGCUUAUAAUUUUUUCUUUCUAGAAACAGCAUGGUAAAUCUCCCCUAUUGAGGCUUUUGUUUAUUAUGCAAUAAUUUGCUUAGGAUGAAUUUUAGUAGUGGAAUUUUUGGGCCAAAGGGUUGUGUAUUAUUAAUGCCUUUGAUAAAAUGCUCUGAAAAUAUCUAAUGAUUUGUAUCCAGAUUUUUUUUUAAAUAUUUUUGCCAACUUGAUAGAUAAUUAUAGUGUUUUUUUGGUUUGGUUCAUGCUUUUUAUUAAUGAAGAACACUUUUUGUGUAUUCACUGGAAAUUCUUUUAUAAUUAGUCUAUUCUUUACUUAUGGUUUUGCCAGGAUGAUCAUAUAUAUUAUUUAUUUCCAAGAAAUUUUAAAACAUAUUAACCAUAUUGAUCAUUUUUAUAGUAUAUCUUUUGUAGACCAUUUCCAGUUUGCAUUUUGAUUUUUAAUUAUAUGGAUUUUAUGUGCAGGGUUAUACUUUUACUUUUUUGAAAAUGUUUUAAUUAUUUAAGCUUUCAGUCUUUUUAUUUAUAGGUUCUGCCUUUUGUGUCAGAAUUAAAAAGCAUUUUUUCAUAAAGUUAUGGGAAUAUUUACCUAUAUUUUCUUCUAGUAAUUGUAUGGUUUUGCUUUUUAUGAUGAAAACUUUAACUAGCU
This 5187-nucleotide long non-coding RNA is filed under the name Sus scrofa (pig). RNAcentral's name for it is "lncRNA (ENSSSCG00000060257.1)". The record is from RNAcentral. Lineage: Eukaryota; Metazoa; Chordata; Mammalia; Artiodactyla; Suidae.